RNAcentral lists this ribosomal RNA (404 nucleotides) under uncultured bacterium. RNAcentral describes it as "partial 16S ribosomal RNA". It matches the Rfam family "Bacterial small subunit ribosomal RNA", at positions 28 to 526 of the family's 1533-position model. The record is from RNAcentral.
GAUGAACGCUGACAGAAUGCUUAACACAUGCAAGUCAACUGUGGCGGACGGGUGAGUAACGCGUAAAGAACUUGCCUCACAGUUAGGGACAACAUUUGGAAACGAAUGCUAAUACCUGAUCCUUUGAGAGUGGUUUGCGUCCAAUUAGCUAGUGGGAGAGGUAACGGCUCACCAAGGCGAUGAUGGGUAGCCGGCCUGAGAGGUUGAUCGGCCAAAAGGGGACUGAGACACGGCCCUUACUCCUACGGGAGGCAGCAGUGGGUAAUAUUGGACAAUGGACCAAAGUCUGAUCCAGCAAUUCUGUGUGCACGAUGAAGUUUUCGGAAUGUAAAGUGCUUUCAGUUGGGAAGCGGUACCAACAGAAGAAGUGACGGCUAAAUACGUGCCAGCCGCCGCGGUAAUUC